GAUGAACGCUGACAGAAUGCUUAACACAUGCAAGUCAACUUGAACUUCGGUUUGGGUGGCGGACGGGUGAGUAACGCGUAAAGAACUUGCCUCACAGAUAGGGACAACAUUUGGAGACGAAUGCUAAUACCUGAUAUUAUGAUUUUAGGGCAUCCUAGGAUUAUGAAAGCUAUAUGCGCUGUGAGAGAGCUUUGCGUCCCAUUAGCUAGUUGGAGAGGUAACGGCUCACCAAGGCGAUGAUGGGUAGCCGGCCUGAGAGGGUGAUCGGCCACAAGGGGACUGAGACACGGCCCUUACUCCUACGGGAGGCAGCAGUGGGGAAUAUUGGACAAUGGACCAAGAGUCUGAUCCAGCAAUUCUGUGUGCACGAUGAAGUUUUUCGGAAUGUAAAGUGCUUUCAGUUGGGAAGAAAAAAAUGACGGUACCAACAGAAGAAGUGACGGCUAAAUACGUG
RNAcentral lists this ribosomal RNA (454 nucleotides) under uncultured bacterium. RNAcentral describes it as "partial 16S ribosomal RNA". It matches the Rfam family "Bacterial small subunit ribosomal RNA", at positions 28 to 507 of the family's 1533-position model. The record is from RNAcentral.